Molecule: long non-coding RNA, 6884 nt
Organism: Bombus huntii
Lineage: Eukaryota; Metazoa; Arthropoda; Insecta; Hymenoptera; Apidae
Exons: 3
Source: RefSeq, a predicted model, not a curated record
CAUAAUAUCCUUCUCGCUAUUUUUUUUUAAUAUACCUGUGCACUUUUACAUCUAUAAGCGAUUAUAUCGAAAGUAUAUUUUUGUUCACAUGCGAGAAUGCGAUAUAUCGAAUGUACGUAACGAAUUAUCUAUUUCGAUUCUCGAAAGUACGAACGGUAGUUUUGUGAAAAGUGCAUAGUGCAAAUUCUCUGUGAAAAAUUGUGAUAGUCAAGAAUAACUUCGAAGCCGGAUGCUGUAAAAUGUACGACGGAAGCGGCGAACAAACGAGGUCGCAACGAGAAACGCCUCGUCUCACCCUCCUUUCGCCUCUCCUAGUCUUUUCGACGGUGAUGUUCCGGGGUAGGUUGGGCCUCGGUGCUUCGAAGAAUGCGACGCGCAUCAGGAACCGCAGCCAAUUUCAAUAUUUGAGGAAACUCGGCUGACAGGAGUUCCGCAAAAUUUGCAGACGAUCUUCGUGGGAGGCUGUGCACCAAAGACAAACAACCAUACACAAGAAUAACAUCUUUCGCGUUCCGCUAAUCACAACACUUGGUGCUGCCUGUACACAGACGUAGAGACGACGAUGGAAAAACAUAGCGCGGUCGUCGUUCGAGCCGAUGGAAAAAGUACCGCUUCUAUCGGCGGGUUAAUGAAGUGGCCUGUGCACGAGAAUUGUUUUUGUUCAAAACAUACGAACGUAAUUACAGAUAAAAAUCCAUACUAUUUUAAUUCUCAUCUAUUCUUCCCUUUUUUUUUUCGGUAAUCGAAAUUCAAUAGUUUACGGUUAAUUCCAUAUACAGGUAUAAUUUUCGUAAGACCAUUACCAUUUGAAUACAGCGAUUUGCGAAAUGAAACGAUCAUACGAAUAAUAAAUUCACCAAACACGAAUACCACAGUCCUACAGGAAUUUUGUAAUAUCUUAACAAAUAAACAGACAAAUCAUCCAUCCGACAGUUUUCUUCGUGUACAUUUUCUUUUAUUAAAGUCUCAAGAAUAUACGUGUACAUAUGAUUAUGUAUUAAAACAAUCCAUCCGAAAAUGUGUGACACCGAACUAUCUGAUAAUCAUCCUCUUUGUGUAUUGUAGAACGCUUUGUGUAUUUUCUAACUCGACGUAUAAAACCGUGACGAUAAUUUAGCCACAGGUGAAGUAUAUACGUAUAGAGGUGAAAAAAUCGUGAGGGUUCUAUUUAGUACCUUUAACGGAAAAUUUUACGCGCUAUCAUUAUCAGGCUAUUCGGUUAUUCUUAACGAUUACGGAUAUCGGUUAUUCUUAACUUAAGUGUUAGGGGCAUCCAGUAGAAAGGUCACUUUUAGUGCGAGAUUACCCUCUGAUCGGUUGUCCGAUUAAAAAAUACAAUGGAAACCUGAGCGUUCGGCACGAUCUUAAUGGCACUUCGAGAAUUGUUUGAUCGAGUAAUUACGGAUGCGCAGUGCGUUUCGAUCAUGCACACGGUGUAUAAUACAGGCCACGAUAUAGCCAGGCUGUAAAUUAAUCCUUCGUCCGCAGUGUCCUUGAAACUGAAAGCGUUUCUUACGCAGAGAAAUUGGAGGUGAGAAAAAAGAGAAAUUCGUUUUCGACAAUUAACAUCGCGUCUAAACUUUUCCACGAAAAGAGUUACACGUUAGGAAUUACAUGGAAAUUUAUCGAGACUUAGAUAUUACAAGAAACAUUAAAUUCACUAUGUAUAUUUUAUUUUCGAAUUCCGCGUAGUGAAACAGAAAAUGAUCGAUGUUAUUUCAUUUACAGAUCGACGAGCUACAAAUAUAUAGCGAUCAAUGUUAAAGCAAAUUGAAAAAUAAAAGACAGAUCGUAAUAUAAAUAUAAAUUUGUAUUUUGAUGCGUUACAUGAAGGAUGACGAUGUUAAAAAUGUUCUUGUACACGCUUAACCGAGCUUUUAGAUUCUUAUACGCAUAGCUGUAUUUUUCUGUCAACUUCACCGUCCUGACACUCGAAACGCGAUCGUUAUAACUUUGCUAUAUCAUGGCUCGUACUAUCUGAUUAUACAUUUGAUAUAAACAUCGUGAUUACGUUGAUUCGUGCGAUCGUUAAGUACUCUAUUUAGGUAUACGUGAAUUACAGUUACUAUAUAUAUACAGGGUGGUUGGUAACUGGUGGUACAAGCGGACAGGGGGUGAUUCUACGCGAAAAAAGAAGUCGAAAAUAUAGAAUACAAAUUUUUCGUUCGAGGCUUUGUUUUCGAGAAAAUCGACUUUGAAUUUUGGCUCGGUACGCGUGCACUUUAUCGCGUCUCGUUAUAACGGAUCUCACUGUAGAUCGUUGUCUCGAUUGACGUUAUUUUUUUAAUUUUUUAAAUUUUUAUUCUAUAUUUUCGACUUCUUUUUUCGCGUAGAAUCACCCCCUUUUUAUAUCACCAGUUACCAACCACCCUGUAUAUAUAUUUUUUAUUUUUCUUCUUACUAUGUAUAAAGUAAUUAGCAAAUGAGAUAGACCUCGUUUUUAGAAACUUGUCCAUUAUAUAAAUUAGAUUCGAAAUUAUCGUUAUAAGUUAGAAUCAUAGCCGCGUGUCACUGAAACUUAUUCCAUGGGAAUGAACAUCUAAACAUAGAACGGUAAUAAUAGUAAAAUACUGAUAUAAUAGUAGUAAGGUUGAAACAUUUUGAAUAAAAUUACUUGUAUCUAUGUAAUUGCUGCUAUCACAGGAAAAAAAUGAUUUCUCAAUGAAAAUGCCAAAUUUCGUGAAAAUUUGAUAAAAGUAUAAUAUAAAAUUUACAGAUUUAUUACAAUUUCACAGACAUUUACCAGGUCUAUCUCUACUCGAAUUACCCUACCAUCCUCUGUAAUCUAUCUCUUCCCUUCUUUUUGUCGAUUCGUUCAUUGGAAUUUUUUGUGUACUCAUUAACAACGGGACAAGUAUUGUGCUACGUAAAUUCCAAAUGAAAGUUUCUUAAAAAUUAAAUAACAAAACUUUUAGAUAUUUUCUAUAUACCUAUACAUAAAUAUACAGGCUGACCCACGAAUUGGUCGCCACGAUUUUUCAAACACUACCGAUUAGCUGACAAGAAAGUUAAUCAGCUUUAAAUCGGCUUCGAAGUUUCUUAUAUCGCGGUUUGUAGCCGAUUGAAAACCGAUCAACCUUCGUUCGAAACAUUUUCGCGUCAUUUUUACCGAAAAUGGUGGAAAUUUCGUGAACCACCCUGUAUAUAUUUUGUAUGAGAAAUAUUUGUAUUAUUUUAACGAUAUUUUGAAUUACAGAGAGCCUCAAUUGUGUCGAAUCGUGGAACAUAUUUUUCUAUAAAUACAUGUACGUUUAAAAUAUCCUGGAAACGAGCGCGACAAUAGACGCAAUGCUCGGCAAAGAAAUUCCUAAAAAUGGAAUGAAAAUUACUGCAUAAAAGGAAAUAACAGAAAAGAAAAUAAUAACAAACGAUACUCUGAAAUUACCGAGCGAAUACUAUAAAAGAGAGUAAAACAGCGUUUGCUAAAAGAAAAAUUGUUCAUCGAGAAGGUGCAAUUGAAAUGGGAAUUUCGUCGGGAAAAACAGCCAUCGAUUACCGUGAAUCGAAUUCGUGCGAAUUUGAAUAAAAGAUCGACUGUGAAUUCCCGCCAUUUUAAUCUGAUUAAAUUUCGCGUAUCGAUAAGUUUGCGCAAACUAAAUCGGUAACAAUUCAUGCAAUACACACACGCAGAGAAAGAAAAUAAAAGAUAUUGAUCACUCGUGUUGCUAUUGGUUAAUGCUAGAUACAUUCAUAAUGAUCAAUUGUUUCCCAUUCAAACAUCACACGCUAUCGUUAAAUACGAAUCGGUUUGCGACAUUUCAAAUUGUUCUACGAUUCGUCAAAUCGCACGUAUUUCUGUCUUACGAAUCUAAUUGCAAGAACUAUAGUCUUUACAUGUUCCGAUCGAAUUGGUAAAUCUAUUUACGAAAAUAGAACACGCUAUUGCAAGUUCGAGUGAUCCGAGUUCAAUGCCUUAGACACGGAGGACCAUACGCUGUCCACUCGAAAAGAGCAACGAUCGAUGAUACAAUUUAUUUACAAUAUCGUGUUGCAAAAAUGUGAAUUAAAAUGCUUAAAACAAUUAGAAAAUCGCUUAUCCUUGUAAUCUAACAGAAAGAACCAGAUAGCUGAUAUGAAAAAAUUAGAUAUUUCUCGUCGAAUUCCUAAUUUGUUAUGCGAAAUUACGAAACAAAUUGCGAUAGGUACAUUCUUGAUAAAAAAAAAAAAGCAAAUCGAAUAAUUCUAUAUCGCAUUUUAAUCCGAGCCUUCGUUUCUCUGAUACGAACGAUCAAAAUUUCGGAGCGUAACGCGAGAAUAUGUACGUUCUCUCGUUCAACUUCGAUCACAGUUGCCUCGAAAACGAAAAUUCAAACUGAAAAAUGGUAAAGGACACUUCGAUUGUUCCUUUUUGUAUCAAAAAUAAAUUGACCGUGAAAAUGAUUAAAAUAUGGACUAAUUUUCUAAUUAUUUUGAGCACUGAAAUCGUUCAAUUGUCACGGUUGGCUCAUCGCAAACAACAGAUUCUUCCAUUUUUAUAUAUAUACGAUAUCGAAAAAUAGAAAGUAAGUUUCAUGAAAUAUCGAUGAUGAAAGUAAUAUCACUUCGUUUAUGAAAAUACUGCUUUUACGACGAGCUUCGGCCCUUAAACUACUUUACAUGCAUAGUAUGUGUAUAUAUAUGUGUGUCGUAAUAUAUUUGUUUAAUGAGAAAUAGAUAACACGAGAGACAGAAUCUCCGUAGAUCGUAAUAUAAGUCGUUAAUUGAUUAAUUUGUAGCUAUUAACUGCCGUUUACUAGAAGAACGCUAAUUUCUAAGUAGACAGAGAUUCAAUCGCAGAAAUCGUUCGCUUAAUCCCUUUGCCGAGACAAUACGAAAUCAGGUGAGAGAAAUUAAACGGAAAAAGUAGAAAUUUUGUUUUGCCCAUUAGCAUCAAUUUAUAUGUACUACGACAUUGAAAAAAGUAUAGACGACAAUUAAAAUCACAGCAAAGAGAUUAAUCGUUACGCGUUACUAUGUACAAUGCUGUAUCUACAUUGUUCAUAAAAAAAUAUAUAUUUCCGCUAUUACAAACUACCAAUUCUCGAACGAGGCUUUCCCGAAAAUUGCAGAAUACCUGUACAAAAAUUGGUAACACGAUCUUUAAUAACGUCCAUACACGAUGUGGAAAUUCAACGAGAGAACAUUGCGCUCUCUCUCUUGGGUUUCUGCAAUCGAGAUAAUUUUGGCGAAACAUCGACAAAAGCGAGAAAAAGACCAGCUUCGACAAAUAACAACGAGCGAAGAAUAAUUAACAUAAUAAUACUAGACAUUCAACUUUCCCGGAAAAUUGAUAAAACUUCGUCAAAUGGAGGGAUCGAUGUUCGAAGAAUAUAACAAAGAUUCAUUUUCAAACCUACGUUUCUCGCAGAACGACCGAUCGUUCUAGUUCCAGCUACCAUUCUGGAUCAUCGAGAAACCUUUAGGAGGGAAAAUUCCAAAAAAUACUCGAUGCACCGUUGAUUCGAUUGGAAACGGGAAAGAAAUCAACGUAUUAACACGAUUACGUCAACUUUGCUCUUAGGACAAACACCAGCGUCGCUGAUCUUCGAUCCAUGAACAGAACACGCAAGCUUAUCGACCAGCAUCCUCCAUUGCGAAGGCUAAUCAGCGAAAAAUAUAACUCGGCGAACGAUCGCGCGAUAGUUUCAUCCCUCGCGAUUCUAAAAUCGAUGCGUUUCGAUGCAAUCGACGAUUUGAGAAAGAAAUUGAGAAUUUUUCUUUAAGUGGCUGAAACUAUGGAACACUUGGAAAUUUGUAAAUUGGAAUAUUUCCGUGCAAAACGGACAUUCGUUAAGGCAUCCGAUACUUUGACAUUACGUGAUAUCACUUUUAUCGAUUUUAAUUAAAACAGAAUUCUACUCUCAAUUAGAAUUUAUUAUUUUAACAAUGUGAUUUUGAUUCGAAUUUAUCUUAUUUUUAGUUUCUGAUCUGGGAAUAAAUCGCGAGAGAUAAGAGUACGCGCUUUUUCAGCGAAAACUCAUUUAAAUCGUUUAACGAAUCUAGCAAACUUUCAGGCACGUUCGACGGUAUAAUAAAAGUCUCGAGGAACCGUCUUCUAAAAAAAUUGGGACGAAUGAACGAUCACAGGUAAGGUUGCGAAUCAGUUUUAUCAAACCUCGUUACUAACUCUCGAAUAAUCGACAGAUUAUCCUCGCGUAACCUUAAAGCGUUAAUGUCCGAUGAAAUUUAUGACACGAAAAAAGUAGAAAAAGAGUUUAAGAUUAUAAAUAAAUCGAGAUUUCUUUUCCCAACGUUAACUGUAUGUACAAUAUUACUUAAUCCAUAAAAAAAAAAAGUUAUUAAGCUUUGUAGAAUUGCAGAAAUUUUCGUCUUCUCCGUUUCAUUGCAAUCCACGUUCUUCGCAGUAACCAACACAAAAGUUAGUCAUUUGACAACGUUCAAACAAACGACGAUCGUAGAAAUCGCUCGUCACACAUUAUGUUUCUUAUUAUUGAAACAAAAUUUCGUCGAGAUCUUUCAAACUCGAGUAAUUUUAAUAGAGCAAACAAAUUGAUUUAAAAGAAUUAACAAGCACUUGUUUUCGCUCAUCAAACAACUUCAAACUUAUUGCAAAAUAUUUGUUACUUGUUUCAAAAUCUUUUUUUAAAAACUAUGGCCUAAGGCGACACAGAUAGAGAGCUUGAUACUCUUCUCGAUCAUCGUUCAUGAUUUUUGGCUCUUCUUCGUUUUCACGCAAAGUUUUCACAAUUUUUGGAAGAGUUAAUCUAAUGUCGUGGACUUAACAAUUUCAAUUCUGUCAUUCAUUAUGCUCCAAUCGAAGGCGUUCACAUUCGUCAAAUUCGUGAACACUUUCGCACAAUCGUUCAAUUGCAUCUGCAAUACUCAAAAAAUUCGAUUCCAGAGAUUAUCAAGGAAUCUAAAUACUCUGUUGCCAAUUUCUUCAA